RNAcentral lists this ribosomal RNA (451 nucleotides) under uncultured bacterium. RNAcentral's name for it is "bacterial SSU rRNA". It matches the Rfam family "Bacterial small subunit ribosomal RNA", at positions 28 to 507 of the family's 1533-position model. The record is from RNAcentral.
GAUGAACGCUGGCGGCGUGCCUAACACAUGCAAGUCGAGCGAUCUCUUCGGAAGAGAGCGGCGGACGGGUGAGUAACGCGUGGGUAACCUGCCCUGUACACACGGAUAACAUACCGAAAGGUAUGCUAAUACGGGAUAACAUAAGAAAUUCGCAUGUUUUUCUUAUCAAAGCUCCGGCGGUACAGGAUGGACCCGCGUCUGAUUAGCUAGUUGGUGAGGUAACGGCUCACCAAGGCGACGAUCAGUAGCCGACCUGAGAGGGUGAUCGGCCACAUUGGAACUGAGACACGGUCCAAACUCCUACGGGAGGCAGCAGUGGGGAAUAUUGCACAAUGGGCGAAAGCCUGAUGCAGCAACGCCGCGUGAGCGAUGAAGGCCUUCGGGUCGUAAAGCUCUGUCCUCAAGGAAGAUAAUGACGGUACUUGAGGAGGAAGCCCCGGCUAACUACGUG